CAUCUUCUUCCUUCUCCUUCUCCACCUCCAUCCGCUCCCAAUCCCUUAACCUGGUUGGGAAGAGGCACUUUCAUCUCCAUCUCCAAUGGCUACCUUCAUCUACAAGCUCUCAUCCCGAUUGGGAGAGGCUAUCAUCCGCCUCACCCCAGUUGUGAAGGCUCGCGCAAGGAAACGCACACUUGGGGAAGAGAAGAGGGUGUGAUCGUCUUCCACCUUAACUUCUACAAGUCCAUCUUCAACAUCAUCAAACCCUUGUUCUGAUUGGGAGAGGUGCUCCCAUCUUCAUCUCUAGAAUCCGCCAUCGACAAGCCCUUGGCCCGGUUGGGCAAGACGAUUCCAUCUCAUCCAGAGCUUUGGGAUUCCUAGCUCCAUGUACAACUCCACUUGUAGAGGUGAAGAAGGCGCAGGGUUUCCCUACUUCAUCUCAUCUACAAGCAUCAUUCUACAUCUACCAUCGUCCGAUCGGAGGAAGAGUUUCUCCACUUUAGUCUUAGUUUAACUUAGCUUCAUUUAUGCUUGCAAUGUUUUUUGAUUAAAUUCCCCUUACGCUUUUACAUUACUUUAAUUUCUAUUAAUACAUUUUUAAUUCAUUUAAUUCUUGCAAUGCUUAAUUCCAUUUGAAUGUUAGUGAUGUUUGUUAUUUGGUUGGAUGCAAGUAGACUAUAUUAGAGUAGGAAUGCUUUACUUUAUAUGCCCUUUACUUCCUCUGCAAUCAUAGUUUAACUAAGUUAGAUUUUCAUUACUUGCAUUGCUUUCUAUUUGUUAGUCUUAACAUCAAAUCCAACACAAACCCCCUAAUUACAACAUAAAAAAAACUCAAAUCAAUAACAUUUAAUCUUGGGAUUACCAUUCGCCGGUUACAUUUUUGAAAAAGAUGAUUUGAGUUAUCCUAUACUACACUAGUUAGGGGUCGAUAAUUUGAAUUAUGACCAUGUUAUCGAGCAUCUGAUAGACUGUAGGAUGAGGGUCAUCAAAAAAGAGUAGAGGGAAGCAGACUUCAAAGGCAAAGGUGUGAUGGCAUGGAAAGAACUAUAGGCCCGGUGCAGCAUCCAAAGGAUGUGGGGUGAGUUGGAAGAUAACUUCAAGGAAGGUGUAACUAUGUAGGAGUUAAGUGUUGAGAGAAUGUACUUAUGUGAGAGUAGGAUCUUAAUAUAGGCAACCUCAACCUUAGAAAUGGUCGGAGUUAGUGUAUUAGUCGAUUUAUACUAAAUACCAGUUAACUAAUAGGUGAGUCAUAGACUCAACAGUUGAACAAAAAUAACUUGUUUUUAUGGUUGUUCAAUCUAGUUAACUAAUUGACUGGAUUAGUUGACAGGUGAAAAUUUCAAACCCCAAACGAGGAGAUUGAGGGAUUAUGAAAUAUUUAUGCGUGGAAGGAACAAUUGAUAAAGCAGCAAUGGACACAUCCGCUGAUGUACACAGCAGUAGAAGAAUAAGAAUUCCGGUCAACUGUUGGGCGUUGAACAAUAAUAGCACUUCCAGUUGAAAUGUACUAGAUAUUAAUCAAAUGUAAAUCUACCAUUGUUUGAACUGCAUACUUCGACUGCAAAGUAUGGAAUUAUUGCAUCAGAAUAGAGAUUAUCUUCACAGAAA
This is a long non-coding RNA of Zingiber officinale, 1593 nucleotides long. RefSeq lists it as uncharacterized. NCBI's taxonomy places the organism in Eukaryota, Viridiplantae, Streptophyta, Magnoliopsida, Zingiberales, Zingiberaceae. The transcript is spliced from 2 exons. The record is from RefSeq and is a predicted model, not a curated record.